GAUGAACGCUAGCGACAGGCUUAACACAUGCAAGUCGAGGGGCAGCACGGGAGUAGCAAUACAACUGGUGGCGACCGGCGCACGGGUGAGUAACGCGUAUGCAACCUACCUAUCAGAGGGGAAUAACCCGGCGAAAGUCGGACUAAUACCGCAUAAAACAGGGGCACCGCAUGGUGAUAUUUGUUAAAGAAAUUCGCUGAUAGAUGGGCAUGCGUUCCAUUAGGUAGUUGGUGAGGUAACGGCUCACCAAGCCGACGAUGGAUAGGGGAACUGAGAGGUUGGUCCCCCACACUGGUACUGAGACACGGACCAGACUCCUACGGGAGGCAGCAGUGAGGAAUAUUGGUCAAUGGGCGAGAGCCUGAACCAGCCAAGUCGCGUGAAGGAAGAAGGAUCUAUGGUUCGUAAACUUCUUUUGCAGGGGAAUAAAGUGCGGGACGUGUCCUGUUUUGUAUGUACCCUGAGAAUAAGGAUCGGCUAACUCCGUGCCAGCAGCCGCGGU
Molecule: ribosomal RNA, 502 nt
Filed under: uncultured bacterium
Lineage: Bacteria
Description: bacterial SSU rRNA
Rfam family: Bacterial small subunit ribosomal RNA
Source: RNAcentral